Molecule: unclassified non-coding RNA, 761 nt
Filed under: Hevea brasiliensis (rubber tree)
Lineage: Eukaryota; Viridiplantae; Streptophyta; Magnoliopsida; Malpighiales; Euphorbiaceae
Source: RNAcentral
AUAUAGGAGUGUGAUACGUAUUUGCUUUUCUUGUUAUUUCUUGGGUGUUAAAGAUUUUAUUUGAAUUUCUUCUUCUUUCUUGGGGGUCAGGAUUUCAUUUGUAUUUCUUCUUUUCUUUGGUUCCAGAAACCAUAUUUCCAAUUGCUAUUCUUUCUUUGAGGGAAUCUUAAGAAUUGCUAAAGAUCAGAGCUAUGGUUAAUCCAGUUUUUCUUGUAGUCAGUCCUAUUGUUAGUCAGAUAGCUAAACUUGCUGCUACCUUGAUCAAAGACGAGUUUCUUUUGCAAUGGGGUCUCAAGAAUGAUAUGGAGAAGCUGUCGAGCAAUCUAACAGCUAUCCAUGCCACACUACAUGAUGCAGAGGAGAGGCAACUAGAGGAGAAGCAUUUAAGAGACUGGCUUGGAAAGCUUAAAGAUGCAGCUGAUGAUGCAGAGGACGUACUGAAUAUUUUCGCUACAGAAAUUUUUCUUUGGAAGAGAAAGCAUGAAGCACGCAGAAUUCCAACUCCUAUAAGUUCAAGUAAGAUUCUAAUUCAAUCGGAAACUGCACAUAAGAUUAAGGAAAUUUCUGCAAGAUUGGGGGUAAUUUCUGAAGAGAAACAAAAGUUCCAUCUCAACAGCAAUGUCAAUGGUGGAAUGUCAUCACAAUCCCAUGACCGUCCACCGACAGAUUUUUUUGUGGACACAAAGGAUGUUUUUGGUAGGGAGGAUGAUAAAGAAAAAAUAAUUGAUCUGUUGCGGUCAGAUAAUUCUGAUGAAGAAGGC